Molecule: ribosomal RNA, 816 nt
Filed under: Triticum aestivum (bread wheat)
Lineage: Eukaryota; Viridiplantae; Streptophyta; Magnoliopsida; Poales; Poaceae
Description: partial small subunit ribosomal RNA
Source: RNAcentral
AUGCCGUCGGCCGCCACCCGUUCGUCAUCCAUGGGUGCCGGCGACAUUGAGUUCGCCCUCGACCUCGAGGACAUCGCCGCCCGCGCAGCCAAAGCGGACUGCAUCGGCGCGCUCGCCUGCGGCCGCACAAGCUUCUCCUACCACCGCCUCCCCGAGCCGCCCCUCCGCCUCACCGUCCGCAAGCUCGACGAUUCCUACUUCGGUGUGCAGGUCGCCAGGUCGGCCGCUGUGUGGGAGCUCAAGGCGGCAAUACAAGGCGUGUUCAUCGCUCUCUACAAUGACAUGGAGAAUGCUGUCACUUGGCAGCACGUGUGGAGCCACUUCUGCUUAUGCUUCAAGGAUGAGAAAAUGACGGAUGACAGGGCAACCUUGCGUGCAUUUGGUAUAAGAGAUGGUGAUGAGCUCCAUUUCGCCCAGCAUCUCUCCGUUGACUACAGCCCUUGCAAGAGUUCAAAAAGUCAAAGGGCAACAUCUCACAGAAGGUCAAGGACUUCAGUGGAAGGUUUUAGUGUCAGACCACGGAGUUUGAUGGAUGAUCUGAUCGAAGAAGAUGAGGCCGAGAAGAAGCUUGCCGCUACUAGGCAUUCAACCAGUAUUCUGGAUGAAGAUUUUUGUGUUUAUGAGCACCACGAGCAGCACGUGGAGGAAGAUCGUAAGAAAGGAAUCUCUGUUCGCGGUUGGUUCUCAUAUUCUAGAUUGAGGGGUAACAGGAGAACACACUCCGAGAAUAUUGAGCAACCCUCUUGCGAAAAGGGCAGUCGACCAAAGCUAGGGAAAUGGCUGUCUUCCAAAAUGUCGAAGGCCCGGAGUAAAUGA